CCUACGGGAGGCAGCAGUGAGGAAUAUUGGUCAAUGGACGCAAGUCUGAACCAGCCAUGCCGCGUGCAGGAAGACGGCUCUAUGAGUUGUAAACUGCUUUUGUACGAGGGUAAACGCAGAUACGCGUAUCUGUCUGAAAGUAUCGUACGAAUAAGGAUCGGCUAACUCCGUGCCAGCAGCCGCGGUAAUACGGAGGAUUCAAGCGUUAUCCGGAUUUAUUGGGUUUAAAGGGUGCGUAGGCGGGCGGAUAAGUUAGCGGUGAAAUCCCGGGGCGCAACCUCGGAAUUGCCUCUGAUACUGUUCGGCUAGAGCGUAGUUGCGGUAGGCGGAAUGUGUGGUGUAGCGGUGAAAUGCUUAGAGAUCAUGCAGAACACCGAUUGCGAAGGCAGCAUACCAGGCUACAUCUGACGUUGAGGCACGAAAGCGUGGGGAGCAAACAGGAUUAGAUACCCUUGUAGUC
RNAcentral lists this ribosomal RNA (460 nucleotides) under uncultured bacterium. RNAcentral describes it as "partial 16S ribosomal RNA". It matches the Rfam family "Bacterial small subunit ribosomal RNA", at positions 338 to 795 of the family's 1533-position model. The record is from RNAcentral.